Rattus norvegicus (Norway rat) is the source of this 723-nucleotide long non-coding RNA. RefSeq lists it as uncharacterized. NCBI's taxonomy places the organism in Eukaryota, Metazoa, Chordata, Mammalia, Rodentia, Muridae. The record is from RefSeq and is a predicted model, not a curated record.
ACUCAUGAAUGACUGGAACUCUAAUCCUUUCCUGGAUAAAGGACCCUUUUGAAACCCAACUUGGGCUUUGGUUAAAAUUCUUCCUGCCUCAUUUCAGCUUGCAAAGUCCCACUGAGCUCUGCCUCAAGAAUUCUGGACUAGAUCUGAGGGCAUGGGAAAAACAGUGGUGGCCAGCCCUGCAGCUGGAAGAUCUGAGCUGUCUGGUCUGAGAGGCUGAUGGCCAUGGAGAUAAGAUUCUAGCCUUUUAGGGCAAACAGGGGCUCCUUGGUGGAGGAUGUAACAAGAGCCUCUGCUAUCCUCUCCAGUCUGGAAAGCGGUCAGUUUCCAUACUCCAGCUGAAUGGAGCAAUGGAAAGAUGCCCAUGUUCUAUUUUGUGGAACUUGAGAAUAUGGAAUCUUCAAAUCGGACUUCACAAGUGAUAUGGUCUUUUGGGAAGAGAGAACCUUAAUUGAGAAAAUGCCCUCACUCAUGAGAUGGGCUUGUGGUCCUGCCUGUUGGGCACUCUUUUGAUUAAUGGCUCAAUUGGGAAGGCCAAGCUCACUGUGGUGGUGCUGUGGCAGGUGACUCUGGGGUACAAAAGAAGCAGACUGCACAGCCACGAGGAAUAAGACAACAACAGCAUCCUCCAUGGCUUCCGUUCCUGCCCUGACUUCUGAUGACAGACUGUGAUGUGGAAGUGUAAGCUGAAUAAACCUAAGUUGGUUUUGGUCUUGUUUUAUCACA